AGAGUUUGAUUAUGGCUCAGGAUGAACGCUAGCUACAGGCUUAACACAUGCAAGUCGAGGGGCAGCAUUGGAGUAGCAAUACUCAGAUGGCGACCGGCGCACGGGUGAGUAACACGUAUCCAACCUGCCGCUUACUCGGGGAUAGCCUUUCGAAAGAAAGAUUAAUACCCGAUGGUAUAAAGAGUUCGCAUGUUCUCUUUAUUAAAGAAUUUCGGUAAGCGAUGGGGAUGCGUUCCAUUAGAUAGUUGGCGGGGUAACGGCCCACCAAGUCUACGAUGGAUAGGGGUUCUGAGAGGAAGGUCCCCCACAUUGGAACUGAGACACGGUCCAAACUCCUACGGGAGGCAGCAGUGAGGAAUAUUGGUCAAUGGACGAGAGUCUGAACCAGCCAAAGUAGCGUGAAGGAUGACUGCCCUAUGGGUUGUAAACUUCUUUUAUAAGGGAAUAAAGUGAGGGACGUGUCCCUUUUUGUAUGUACCUUAUGAAUAAGGAUCGGCUAACUCCGUGCCAGCCGCCGC
RNAcentral lists this ribosomal RNA (518 nucleotides) under uncultured bacterium. RNAcentral's name for it is "bacterial SSU rRNA". It matches the Rfam family "Bacterial small subunit ribosomal RNA", at positions 8 to 518 of the family's 1533-position model. The record is from RNAcentral.